Molecule: ribosomal RNA, 443 nt
Filed under: uncultured bacterium
Lineage: Bacteria
Description: partial 16S ribosomal RNA
Rfam family: Bacterial small subunit ribosomal RNA
Source: RNAcentral
CCUACGGGAGGCAGCAGUGGGGAAUAUUGGGCAAUGGGCGCAAGCCUGACCCAGCAACGCCGCGUGAAGGAAGAAGGCUUUCGGGUUGUAAACUUCUUUUCUCAGGGACGAAGCAAGUGACGGUACCUGAGGAAUAAGCCACGGCUAACUACGUGCCAGCAGCCGCGGGAAUACGUAGGUGGCAAGCGUUAUCCGGAUUUACUGGGUGUAAGGGGCGUGUAGGUGGGAAAGCAAGUCAGAUGUGAAAACUACGGGCUCAACCUGUGGCCUGCAUUUGAAACUGGUUUUCUUGAGUACUGGGGAGGCAGACGGAAUGCCUAGUGUAGCGGUGAAAUGCGUAGAUAUUAGGAGGAACACCAGUGGCGAAGGCGGCCUGCUGGACUGAAACUGACGUUGAGGCUCGAAAGCGUGGGGAGCAAACAGGAUUAGAUACCCCGGUAGUC